This 622-nucleotide ribosomal RNA is filed under the name Salmonella enterica subsp. enterica serovar Adamstua. Its description in RNAcentral is "partial 23S ribosomal RNA". It matches the Rfam family "Bacterial large subunit ribosomal RNA", at positions 711 to 1246 of the family's 2925-position model. The record is from RNAcentral. Lineage: Bacteria; Pseudomonadati; Pseudomonadota; Gammaproteobacteria; Enterobacterales; Enterobacteriaceae.
AGACCCGAAACCCGGUGAUCUAGCCAUGGGCAGGUUGAAGGUUGGGUAACACUAACUGGAGGACCGAACCGACUAAUGUUGAAAAAUUAGCGGAUGACCUGUGGCUGGGGGUGAAAGGCCAAUCAAACCGGGAGAUAGCUGGUUCUCCCCGAAAGCUAUUUAGGUAGCGCCUCGUGAAUUCAUCUCCGGGGGUAGAGCACUGUUUCGGCUAGGGGGCCAUCCCGGCUUACCAACCCGAUGCAAACUGCGAAUACCGGAGAAUGUUAUCACGGGAGACACACGGCGGGUGCUAACGUCCGUCGUGAAGAGGGAAACAACCCAGACCGCCAGCUAAGGUCCCAAAGUCAUGGUUAAGUGGGAAACGAUGUGGGAAGGCCCAGACAGCCAGGAUGUUGGCUUAGAAGCAGCCAUCAUUUAAAGAAAGCGUAAUAGCUCACUGGUCGAGUCGGCCUGCGCGGAAGAUGUAACGGGGCUAAACCAUGCACCGAAGCUGCGGCAGCGAACGUAUCACCCAAGACAACUUUGCGGAGUUGACGAUUGACGGAGCGAAGCGACGUCAAAGCGUUCAUUAAAGUCGAGUUGGCUUAGGGAUACGUUCGUUGGGUAGGGGAGCGUUCUGUAA